AUUGAACGCUGGCGGCAGGCUUAACACAUGCAAGUCGAGCGGUAGCACAGGGGAGCUUGCUCCCUGGGUGACGAGCGGCGGACGGGUGAGUAAUGUCUGGGAAACUGCCUGAUGGAGGGGGAUAACUACUGGAAACGGUAGCUAAUACCGCAUAACGUCGCAAGACCAAAGAGGGGGACCUUCGGGCCUCUUGCCAUCAGAUGUGCCCAGAUGGGAUUAGCUAGUAGGUGGGGUAAUGGCUCACCUAGGCGACGAUCCCUAGCUGGUCUGAGAGGAUGACCAGCCACACUGGAACUGAGACACGGUCCAGACUCCUACGGGAGGCAGCAGUGGGGAAUAUUGCACAAUGGGCGCAAGCCUGAUGCAACCAUGCCGCGUGUGUGAAGAAAGCCUUCGGGUUGUAAAGCACUUUUCACGAGGAGGAAGGUGGGUGAACUUAUACGUUCAUCAAUUGACGUUACUCGCAGAAAAACCCCGGCUUACUUCGUGCCCGCCGCCGCCGUAAUACCGAAGGUGCCAGCGUUUAAUCCGAAUUACUGGGGCUUAAAACGCACGCAGGCGGUUUGUUAAGUCAGAUGUGAAAUCCCCGGGCUCAACCUGGGAACUGCAUUUGAAACUGGCAAGCUAGAGUCUCGUAGAGGGGGGUAGAAUUCCAGGUGUAGCGGUGAAAUGCGUAGAGAUCUGGAGGAAUACCGGUGGCGAAGGCGGCCCCCUGGACGAAGACUGACGCUCAGGUGCGAAAGCGUGGGGAGCAAACAGGAUUAGAUACCCUGGUAGUCCACGCUGUAAACGAUGUCGAUUUGGAGGUUGUGCCCUUGAGGCGUGGCUUCCGGAGCUAACGCGUUAAAUCGACCGCCUGGGGAGUACGGCCGCAAGGUUAAAACUCAAAUGAAUUGACGGGGGCCCGCACAAGCGGUGGAGCAUGUGGUUUAAUUCGAUGCAACGCGAAGAACCUUACCUACUCUUGACAUCCAGAGAACUUAGCAGAGAUGCUUUGGUGCCUUCGGGAACUCUGAGACAGGUGCUGCAUGGCUGUCGUCAGCUCGUGUUGUGAAAUGUUGGGUUAAGUCCCGCAACGAGCGCAACCCUUAUCCUUUGUUGCCAGCGGUUCGGCCGGGAACUCAAAGGAGACUGCCAGUGAUAAACUGGAGGAAGGUGGGGAUGACGUCAAGUCAUCAUGGCCCUUACGAGUAGGGCUACACACGUGCUACAAUGGCAUAUACAAAGAGAAGCGACCUCGCGAGAGCAAGCGGACCUCAUAAAGUAUGUCGUAGUCCGGAUUGGAGUCUGCAACUCGACUCCAUGAAGUCGGAAUCGCUAGUAAUCGUAGAUCAGAAUGCUACGGUGAAUACGUUCCCGGGCCU
RNAcentral lists this ribosomal RNA (1364 nucleotides) under uncultured bacterium. RNAcentral's name for it is "bacterial SSU rRNA". It matches the Rfam family "Bacterial small subunit ribosomal RNA", at positions 28 to 1381 of the family's 1533-position model. The record is from RNAcentral.